Sapajus apella (tufted capuchin) is the source of this 306-nucleotide long non-coding RNA. RefSeq lists it as uncharacterized. Lineage: Eukaryota; Metazoa; Chordata; Mammalia; Primates; Cebidae. The record is from RefSeq and is a predicted model, not a curated record. The transcript is spliced from 2 exons.
AAACCGGAUUCUUGGUGCAGCCCCAGAACUCGCUGCCAGAACCGGGAAGUGAAGAGGUCUCCCAGCAGGAGCCAUUCCCCAGGAGGGGUGGGUGACCUCAGGGUCAGGGGCCAGGCCCGAGGGUGUUCCCAGACCUCUGCGUCCCAGAAGCCCACCUGCCCGCUGUCACACCUGAGGAAGGUGGAGGUCAGGUUGAGGCCGCCAUCCGAGGCCGGGGCCACCACCGACUUGCACAUGGACAGCGCCGCCUUCUUCUCUCGGAGCCAGCUCGAGUUGGAGGCGAGGCCCGCGCUGAACCAGAGCCCC